RNAcentral lists this transfer RNA (71 nucleotides) under Camelus bactrianus (Bactrian camel). It matches the Rfam family "tRNA". From Rfam's summary of the family: Transfer RNA (tRNA) molecules are approximately 80 nucleotides in length. Their secondary structure includes four short double-helical elements and three loops (D, anti-codon, and T loops). Further hydrogen bonds mediate the characteristic L-shaped molecular structure. tRNAs have two regions of fundamental functional importance: the anti-codon, which is responsible for specific mRNA codon recognition, and the 3' end, to which the tRNAs corresponding amino acid is attached (by aminoacyl-tRNA synthetases). tRNAs cope with the degeneracy of the genetic code in two manners: having more than one tRNA (with a specific anti-codon) for a particular amino acid; and 'wobble' base-pairing, i.e. permitting non-standard base-pairing at the 3rd anti-codon position. RNAcentral also lists the same sequence under 2 other names. Lineage: Eukaryota; Metazoa; Chordata; Mammalia; Artiodactyla; Camelidae. The record is from Rfam by way of RNAcentral.
AGCGGAUAGCUCAGUAGUAGAGCACAUGCUUAACAUGCAUGAAGCCCUAGGUUCAAUCUCCAGUGCCUCUG